AUGAAUAUUAUGAGGAGUAAAAAAUAUAGUUUAUUCAGAGAACUAGUGGUUGGUGAGAACUAGUAAAUCAUAUUUUUGAAGGUUGCAUAGUAUAAAACUUAAUAUACAACUAAGGUGAGUUUAAGUUUUUUUUAAACUAAUUAGGAUGGUACCGCGGAGACAAUUCGUUCCUAUU
Molecule: non-coding RNA, 175 nt
Filed under: Spiroplasma helicoides
Lineage: Bacteria; Bacillati; Mycoplasmatota; Mollicutes; Entomoplasmatales; Spiroplasmataceae
Description: T-box sequence
Rfam family: T-box leader
About the family: Uncharged tRNA acts as the effector for transcription antitermination of genes in the T-box leader family. T-boxes are found upstream of many aminoacyl-tRNA synthetase genes and some amino acid biosynthetic genes usually in Gram-positive bacteria.
Source: RNAcentral